Molecule: ribosomal RNA, 407 nt
Filed under: uncultured bacterium
Lineage: Bacteria
Description: partial 16S ribosomal RNA
Rfam family: Bacterial small subunit ribosomal RNA
Source: RNAcentral
AUUGAACGCUGGCGGCAGGCCUAACACAUGCAAGUCGAGCGGAGCGGCGGACGGGUGAGUAAUGCCUAGGAAUCUGCCUGGUAGUGGGGGAUAACGUCCGGAAACGGGCGCUAAUACCGCAUACUGAUGGAUGGACCCGCGGUGCAUUAGCUAGGUGGUGAGGUAACGGCUCACCAAGGCCACGAUGCAUAGCCGACCUGAGAGGGUGAUCGGCCACACUGGGACUGAGACACGGCCCAGACUCCUACGGGAGGCAGCAGUGGGGAAUAUUGGACAAUGGGCGAAAGCCUGAUCCAGCCAUGCCGCGUGUGUGAAGAAGGUCUUCGGAUUGUAAAGCACUUUAAGUUGGGAGGCGUUACCAACAGAAUAAGCACCGGCUAACUUCGUGCCAGCCGCCGCGGUAAUAC